UACAGAGGUCUCGAGCGUUGUUCGGAUUCAUUGGGCGUAAAGGGUGCGUAGGCGGCGAAGUAAGUCGGAUGUGAAAUCCCGAGGCUCAACCUCGGAACUGCAUUCGAUACUGCUUCGCUCGAGGACUGGAGAGGAGACUGGAAUUCACGGUGUAGCAGUGAUAUGCGUAGAUAUCGUGAGGAAGACCGGUGGCGAAGGCGGGUCUCUGGGCAACUACUGACGCUGAGGAGCGAAAGCAUGGGGAGCAAACAGG
Molecule: ribosomal RNA, 253 nt
Filed under: uncultured bacterium
Lineage: Bacteria
Description: partial 16S ribosomal RNA
Rfam family: Bacterial small subunit ribosomal RNA
Source: RNAcentral